GCCCGUCUGCUGGAACUGGUAGACAACACGGUGUCAGACGCCGUGGCCCCCCGGGCGUCCGGGUUCGACCCCCGGGGCGGGCACCA
This 86-nucleotide transfer RNA is filed under the name Microbacterium sp. Its description in RNAcentral is "tRNA-Leu". Lineage: Bacteria; Bacillati; Actinomycetota; Actinomycetes; Micrococcales; Microbacteriaceae. The record is from RNAcentral.